RNA transcript from Lynx canadensis (Canada lynx), 1894 nucleotides. It is a transcript of the gene named retinitis pigmentosa 9 protein-like, with no coding region annotated. Lineage: Eukaryota; Metazoa; Chordata; Mammalia; Carnivora; Felidae. The record is from RefSeq and is a predicted model, not a curated record. The transcript is spliced from 9 exons.
CAGCCGCGCGGGCCGCGAUGUCUUCCCGGCCCGGGCGUGACGACGCGCGAGCCGGAGGCGCGCGGCGGCCGCGGGAGUCGGCCGAGCAGGAGCUGCAGCGGCGCCGAGAGCAGAAGCGGCGGCGGCACGACGCGCAGCAGCUGCAGCAGCUCAAGCACCUGGAGUCCUUUUAUGAAAAACCUCCUCCGGGGCUUAUCAAGGAAGAUGAGACUAAGCCGGAAGACUGUAUACCAGAUGUACCAGGCAACGAACAUGCCAGGGAAUUUCUGGCUCACGCACCAACUAAAGGACUUUGGAUGCCACUUGGGAAAGAAGUCAAAGUUAUGCAGUGCUGGCGUUGUAAGCGGUAUGGUCACCGAACAGGCGACAAAGAAUGCCCUUUUUUUAUCAAAGGCAACCAAAAAUUAGAACAGUUCAGAGUAGCACAUGAAGAUCCCAUGUAUGACAUCAUACGAGAGAAUAAAAGACAUGAAAAGGAUGUAAGGAUACAGCAGUUAAAACAGUUACUGGAGGAUUCCACCUCCGAUGAAGAUGGGAGCAGCUCCAGCUCCUCAGAAUGUAAAGAGAAACACAAGAAAAAGAAGAAGAAAGAAAAGCAUAAGAAAAGGAAAAAAGAAAAGAAGAAGAAAAAACAAAAGCAUAAGUCUUCCAAGUCGAAUGAGAGUUCAGACUCGGACUGACAAGGACUUGACCUAUUCCAUGUUCUCCUCUCAAAAAUCAGACACUGUGGCCCCAGACCAGAGGGUGUGGAAUCGGGGAGGACUUGGAGACCCCAAGAGAGCAGGGCAUUCGGUGUCACGCGUGUGAAUCUCACCUGCCUUCCAGCAAAGACGUGACCCCCGGAGGGGCUGUGAUAGGAUGGAAAAAAUGGAUUCCUACACACUGAUGAGAAAUGACAGCAGAGGCAAAUGAGACUUUAAGAAGACUAAAGGAGAAAGAUCCCACAGGAAGAGGAGAGAAGAGGAACCACUGUGACAUACACAAGGAGAACUCCAGCCAACACUAACACCAGACCUCAGGACAAGCUAGUUGACCAGAGCCUAACUGAUCAGGGUAAUUCCAAGUCUGGGUGGAAGGGUCCUCACCUCUUCUGGCUGGCCUGGGAUCGCGGACACAGGGCUGCGCGGCGUUGGGGACCCGGGCAUCGUUGCCCACAAGCCCGAGCUGCAUCUCGCACAAACAAGUCUUGGCUUCCCCAAGCAGCAGCAGCAGCAGCAGCAGCACUGAGUGAAGACUGAGGCCAGGAGAGAACUUGCCGCAGCGCCUCGAACGUGACGGGCUGUGCCCAGGAGCUCCACUCCAGGGCCAUCACUUAGGCCUGGCCUGCAGCGCCCUCGUCCUCAGCCUCUCGGGCGUGCCCACCGCGCCCCUUCCCCGGUCCAGAGGAGCCCAUCCCGGGGGAGCCAGCCUCUCUUUACCCACGACUCACACCCCACUCCCUGUCCUGCAAGUCAGUCGCCUCCACUCCCUCGGCACCCAACCCCACCACUCACCGUGUUCGGUACGCCCACCUGCUCUAAGCCAACCUCCACAACCCGGAACGUCUCUGACACCUGGGCCUUGGCUCCCACUUUCAUAGGCUCCGCGGGCUGUGCGGGCCUCCCACAGACGGCUCACGCAUGCGCCCUGGGCGAGGAUCGGAGCCUGACUGCUCCUCCCAAGGACACCUGGAGAAGCCUUGGAGCAGUUUUCGGCACCGUGCUCGCUCCGGCGCCUGGACGCCCUGGUGUUGGCGCUUCCAGAGGACGGGUCGGUUCCCUGUCCCAUUCGCUCUCCCGGAUUGUCCCUUCCAUUUGAGUGUGUUCGGUGAAGACAGCUUGUCUCCCCUGCUCUGAGCCCCUGGUCUCCUUCCUUCUUGGGCCUAACACCGCUGACACGAAGGAAGAGGAGCUGA